This 508-nucleotide ribosomal RNA is filed under the name uncultured bacterium. RNAcentral's name for it is "bacterial SSU rRNA". It matches the Rfam family "Bacterial small subunit ribosomal RNA", at positions 355 to 879 of the family's 1533-position model. The record is from RNAcentral.
UGGGGAAUAUUGGACAAUGGGCGCAAGCCUGAUCCAGCAAUGCCGCGUGGGUGAAGAAGGUCUUCGGAUUGUAAAGCCCUUUCGGCGGGGACGAUGAUGACGGUACCCGCAGAAGAAGCCCCGGCUAACUUCGUGCCAGCAGCCGCGGUAAUACGAAGGGGGCUAGCGUUGCUCGGAAUGACUGGGCGUAAAGGGCGCGUAGGCGGUGCAUUUGGUCAGGGCGUGAAAUUCCUGGGCUUAACCUGGGGACUGCGCUUGAGACGGGUGUGCUGGAGGGCAGGAGAGGCUCGCGGAAUUCCCAGUGUAGAGGUGAAAUUCGUAGAUAUUGGGAAGAACACCGGUGGCGAAGGCGGCGAGCUGGCCUGUACCUGACGCUGAGGCGCGACAGCGUGGGGAGCAAACAGGAUUAGAUACCCUGGUAGUCCACGCCGUAAACGAUGUGCGCUGGAUGUUGGGCGGCCUAGCCGCUCAGUGUCGUAGCCAACGCGGUAAGCGCACCGCCUGGGGA